Long non-coding RNA from Exaiptasia diaphana, 263 nucleotides. RefSeq lists it as uncharacterized. The record is from RefSeq and is a predicted model, not a curated record. Lineage: Eukaryota; Metazoa; Cnidaria; Anthozoa; Actiniaria; Aiptasiidae. The transcript has 3 exons.
UUUGCAAUCUCUGCAAAGUAUCUAUCUCGUGUCCAAAUGAUGRAUGGCUUGUGGGAUGGUCUAGUGUCGAUCAGCGGGAAAUUUGGCAGCAUACGAUGGAUUGCUUGCCCAUUGCCGAAAGUACAACCAUAGAUUCCGAUAAUAACACCACAGAUGAUUGUGCACCAGACGAAAUCAGACUGGAAGCAUUCAUUUCCCAAAUGGACGAGAGCGCAUAUAAUCUUAUCUUAGAAUGCAUUCUUGGAAACCGGCAACUCUAACGG